RNAcentral lists this transfer RNA (72 nucleotides) under Perkinsus olseni. Its description in RNAcentral is "tRNA-Pro". It matches the Rfam family "tRNA". Rfam says of the family: Transfer RNA (tRNA) molecules are approximately 80 nucleotides in length. Their secondary structure includes four short double-helical elements and three loops (D, anti-codon, and T loops). The record is from RNAcentral. Lineage: Eukaryota; Perkinsozoa; Perkinsida; Perkinsidae.
GGCUGUGUGGUCUAGUGGUAUGAUUCUCGCUUAGGGUGCGAGAGGUUCCGAGUUCAAUUCUCGGUACAGUCC